This 87-nucleotide transfer RNA is filed under the name Amphiplicatus metriothermophilus. RNAcentral describes it as "tRNA-Leu". It matches the Rfam family "tRNA". Rfam says of the family: Transfer RNA (tRNA) molecules are approximately 80 nucleotides in length. Their secondary structure includes four short double-helical elements and three loops (D, anti-codon, and T loops). The record is from RNAcentral. Lineage: Bacteria; Pseudomonadati; Pseudomonadota; Alphaproteobacteria; Parvularculales; Parvularculaceae. RNAcentral also lists the same sequence under 1 other name.
GCGGACGUGGCGGAACUGGUAGACGCAACGGACUUAAAAUCCGUUGGGCGAAAGCCCGUGUGGGUUCGAGUCCCACCGCCCGCACCA